This 460-nucleotide ribosomal RNA is filed under the name uncultured bacterium. RNAcentral describes it as "partial 16S ribosomal RNA". It matches the Rfam family "Bacterial small subunit ribosomal RNA", at positions 338 to 795 of the family's 1533-position model. The record is from RNAcentral.
CCUACGGGUGGCAGCAGUGAGGAAUAUUGGUCAAUGGGCGCAAGCCUGAACCAGCCAAGUCGCGUGAGGGAUGACGGUCCUAUGGAUUGUAAACCUCUUUUGUCGGGGAGCAAAGCGCGGUACGAGUACCGUGAAGGAGAGUACCCGAAGAAAAAGCAUCGGCUAACUCCGUGCCAGCAGCCGCGGUAAUACGGAGGAUGCGAGCGUUAUCCGGAUUUAUUGGGUUUAAAGGGUGCGUAGGCGGAUUAGUAAGUCAGCGGUAAAAAUGCGGUGCUCAACGCCGUAUCGCCGUUGAAACUGCGGGUCGUGAGUGAGCGAGAAGUAUGCGGAAUGCGUGGUGUAGCGGUGAAAUGCAUAGAUAUCACGCAGAACUCCGGUUGCGAAGGCAGCAUACCGGCGCUCAACUGACGCUGAGGCACGAAAGCGUGGGUAUCGAACAGGAUUAGAUACCCUGGUAGUC